UGGUGAUUCAAUGGCAGAAUUCUCACCUUCCAUGUGGGAGACCUGGGUUCAUUUCCCAGCCA
This 62-nucleotide transfer RNA is filed under the name Loxodonta africana (African savanna elephant). It matches the Rfam family "tRNA", at positions 5 to 66 of the family's 71-position model. Rfam says of the family: Transfer RNA (tRNA) molecules are approximately 80 nucleotides in length. Lineage: Eukaryota; Metazoa; Chordata; Mammalia; Proboscidea; Elephantidae. The record is from Rfam by way of RNAcentral.